GCAGAGAUGCUUUGGUGCCUUCGGGAACUCUGAGACAGGUGCUGCAUGGCUGUCGUCAGCUCGUGUUGUGAAAUGUUGGGUUAAGUCCCGCAACGAGCGCAACCCUUAUCCUUUGUUGCCAGCGGCUCGGCCGGGAACUCAAAGGAGACUGCCGGUGAUAAACCGGAGGAAGGUGGGGAUGACGUCAAGUCAUCAUGGCCCUUACGGCCAGGGCUACACACGUGCUACAAUGGCGCAUACAAAGAGAAGCGACCUCGCGAGAGCAAGCGGACCUCAUAAAGUGCGUCGUAGUCCGGAUUGGAGUCUGCAACUCGACUCCAUGAAGUCGGAAUCGCUAGUAAUCGUAGAUCAGAAUGCUACGGUGAAUACGUUCCCGGGCCUUGUACACACCGCCCGUCACACCAUGGGAGUGGGUUGCAAAAGAAGUAGGUAGCUUAACCUUCGGGAGGGCGCUUACCACUUUGUGAUUCAUGACUGGGGUGAAGUCGUAACAAGGUAAGCGUAGCGAG
RNAcentral lists this ribosomal RNA (509 nucleotides) under uncultured bacterium. RNAcentral's name for it is "bacterial SSU rRNA". It matches the Rfam family "Bacterial small subunit ribosomal RNA", at positions 1000 to 1509 of the family's 1533-position model. The record is from RNAcentral.